UACGAAGGGGGCUAGCGUUGCUCGGAAUCACUGGGCGUAAAGCGCACGUAGGCGGAUCUUUAAGUCAGGGGUGAAAUCCUGGAGCUCAACUCCAGAACUGCCUUUGAUACUGAGGAUCUUGAGUUCGGGAGAGGUGAGUGGAACUGCGAGUGUAGAGGUGAAAUUCGUAGAUAUUCGCAAGAACACCAGUGGCGAAGGCGGCUCACUGGCCCGGUACUGACGCUGAGGUGCGAAAGCGUGGGGAGCAAACAGG
RNAcentral lists this ribosomal RNA (253 nucleotides) under uncultured bacterium. RNAcentral describes it as "partial 16S ribosomal RNA". It matches the Rfam family "Bacterial small subunit ribosomal RNA", at positions 524 to 776 of the family's 1533-position model. The record is from RNAcentral.